RNAcentral lists this ribosomal RNA (253 nucleotides) under uncultured bacterium. Its description in RNAcentral is "partial 16S ribosomal RNA". It matches the Rfam family "Bacterial small subunit ribosomal RNA", at positions 524 to 776 of the family's 1533-position model. The record is from RNAcentral.
UACGUAGGUGGCAAGCGUUGUCCGGAUUUAUUGGGUUUAAAGGGUGCGUAGGUGGUUUAAUAAGUCAGUGGUGAAAGCUGGUUGCUCAACAAUCAAGUUGCCAUUGAUACUGUUAGACUUGAGAGAAGUGGAGGCUGGUGGAAUGGAUGGUGUAGCGGUGAAAUGCAUAGAUAUCAUCCAGAACGUCAAUUGCGAAGGCAGCUGGCUGUACUUUUUCUGACACUGAGGCACGAAAGUGUGGGGAUCAAACAGG